CCCGUACAAUGAGAAUCCAUUUGAUCAGAGAGAGACCAAAUCCACAGAUUGCACCAUACCUUCCAGCUAUGGUAUUUGUUAUACAGAAGGAUAAACAAAAUCCAAUCCAGUUGAAAAUAAAUGCCAUGAAAAAUGCCAACAUGAAGAUGCCAUCAUUGCCCACUCUAAGCUGAUCUGCAUCACUGAAAUCAUCCCGUGGUGGAUACUCUUCUUCACGCUGGGCAACUUCUGCUGCAGCAGCUGCCAUUGCUGCAGCUUUGGCCUUCUCAGCUUCAUCGUAAGUAGGAAGAGAGGUAGCUACACUGUAUGGAGGUGGUACAGGAUAAAAUUCAUUGUGUGUUUCUGAGGUUGCAGCUGCUUCUACAUCUAUGCUACAGUAAGGUGGAGGGGAGGUAUCGGCUUCAGAUAAGGCUGCUGUCUGAGGAGUCUGUGUAGUCUCUGUAGAAGUAGAAGGCUGCUCAGCCACUGAAGACUCUGGAGGGUCAUCCUCGUUGUGAAGCACUUGGUAGCGGCUGGCGGGCUGGUGGUGCUCCAUCCCUGCCGCCGCCGAAGCUCCGCCACUCGCCCUUCCCCCACCCCCCCCGCCGGCGCCGCCGCUGCCGCCGCUUCGGCCC
Molecule: long non-coding RNA, 614 nt
Filed under: Gallus gallus (chicken)
Lineage: Eukaryota; Metazoa; Chordata; Aves; Galliformes; Phasianidae
Source: RNAcentral